RNAcentral lists this microRNA precursor (96 nucleotides) under Nicotiana sylvestris (wood tobacco). RNAcentral's name for it is "MIR6152 microRNA precursor family". It matches the Rfam family "MIR6152 microRNA precursor family". Lineage: Eukaryota; Viridiplantae; Streptophyta; Magnoliopsida; Solanales; Solanaceae. RNAcentral also lists the same sequence under 1 other name. The record is from Rfam by way of RNAcentral.
UGGACAGAUUAUUGUAUUCGACUGUAUUCACGACGUGAAAUAGGGGGUUACACUGUUUUUAAACGGAAAGUGAAUCAAUUAACAUAAUAGACUCCU